RNAcentral lists this ribosomal RNA (253 nucleotides) under uncultured bacterium. Its description in RNAcentral is "partial 16S ribosomal RNA". It matches the Rfam family "Bacterial small subunit ribosomal RNA", at positions 524 to 776 of the family's 1533-position model. The record is from RNAcentral.
UACGGAGGGAGCUAGCGUUGUUCGGAAUUACUGGGUGUAAAGCGCGUGUAGGCGGGAGGCCAAGUCUGCUGUGAAAUCGCCCGGCUCAACUGGGCGGGGUCGGUGGAAACUGGUCACCUGGAGGACGGUAGAGGCGAGUGGAAUUCCCGGUGUAGCGGUGAAAUGCGUAGAUAUCAGGAGGAACACCGGUGGCGAAGGCGCACAUCUGGCCCAAUACUGACGCUAAAGCGCGAAAGCUAGGGGAGCAAACGGG